This 194-nucleotide ribosomal RNA is filed under the name uncultured Moraxella sp. RNAcentral describes it as "partial 16S ribosomal RNA". It matches the Rfam family "Bacterial small subunit ribosomal RNA", at positions 338 to 524 of the family's 1533-position model. The record is from RNAcentral. Lineage: Bacteria; Pseudomonadati; Pseudomonadota; Gammaproteobacteria; Moraxellales; Moraxellaceae.
CCUACGGGAGGCAGCAGUGGGGAAUAUUGGACAAUGGGGGCAACCCUGAUCCAGCCAUGCCGCGUGUGUGAAGAAGGCCUUUUGGUUGUAAAGCACUUUAAGCAGUGAAGAAGACUCCAUGGUUAAUACCCAUGGACGAUGACAUUAGGUGCAGAAUAAGCACCGGCUAACUGUGUGCCAGCAGCCGCGGUAAU